Molecule: ribosomal RNA, 893 nt
Filed under: uncultured bacterium
Lineage: Bacteria
Description: bacterial SSU rRNA
Rfam family: Bacterial small subunit ribosomal RNA
Source: RNAcentral
GCUUAGAGUUUGAUCCUGGCUCAGGAUGAACGCUGGCGGCGUGCCUAACACAUGCAAGUCGAACGGGAAAUCUGGUUUCGAUCAGAUGGAGAGUGGCGCACGGGUGAGUAACACGUAGCUCAUCUACCCCGAAGAGCGGGAUAACGCACCGAAAGGUGUGCUAAUACCGCAUAAGCUCCCGGACUGUAGAGGUUUGGGAGAAAAGCUGAGGCGCUUUGGGAUGAGGCUGCGGCCCAUCAGCUAGUUGGUAGGGUAAAGGCCUACCAAGGCGACGACGGGUAGGGGGCCUGAGAGGGUGACCCCCCACACUGGGACUGAGACACGGCCCAGACUCCUACGGGAGGCAGCAGUGAGGAAUAUUGCUCAAUGGGCGCAAGCCUGAAGCAGCGACGCCGCGUGGGUGAUGAAGGCCUUCGGGUCGUAAAGCCCUUUUCUUGGUGACGAGAGAGGACGGUAGCCAAGGAAUAAGUGUCGGCUAACUACGUGCCAGCAGCCGCGGUAAAACGUAGGACGCAAGCGUUAUCCGGAAUUACUGGGCGUAAAGCGCGCGCAGGCGGGUCAGCAAGUCAUGCGUGAAAGCUCCCGGCUAAACUGGGAGAGGUCGGAUGAUACUGUUGAUCUGGAGGGUGUCAGAGGCGUGUGGAAUUCCGCGUGUAGUGGUGAAAUGCGUAGAUAUGCGGAGGAACACCAGUGGCGAAGGCGGCACGCUGGGACAUACCUGACGCUGAGGCGCGAAAGCAUGGGUAGCGAACGGGAUUAGAAACCCCGGUAGUCCAUGCCGUAAACGAUGUACACUAGAUGUUCGUGCGGCUGCGGUCGUGUGAGUGUCGAAAGCAACGCGCUAAGUGUACCGCCUGGGGAGUACGGUCGCAAGGCUAAAACUCAAAGGAAUU